This is a long non-coding RNA of Pygocentrus nattereri (red-bellied piranha), 946 nucleotides long. RefSeq lists it as uncharacterized. Lineage: Eukaryota; Metazoa; Chordata; Actinopteri; Characiformes; Serrasalmidae. The transcript is spliced from 2 exons. The record is from RefSeq and is a predicted model, not a curated record.
AAUAAAUAAAUAGAUUUAUGAGCGUCUUAUAUGGAGGACAAUUAAACUUAAAAUCACUAGUUAAAAAAGAAAGGGGGGAGGUUUAGUGUUUGGAGAUCGGGAUGCGUUGAAGGGGUACACACCUUCACGGAUGGACGAUAAAAAUGGACUGAGAGACUCUGAAUAAGAAGGUCUACACCCAACACCAUCAACACCACUUGGGGAGUCGACAUGUGGAAGAGUUUCAGUCUGAUACACUGAUGUGUUCAUAUGUCUUUGCUUGAGUACGUUGGGACCUCAGAUGUCUUUUCUUUUCUUUUCUUUUCUUUUUACGAGUUAGGGAAAUGGGUUUUAGGUUUGUUAUCGGGUCCGAUAGGUCGUCUAGCCCGCUAACGAACAUUAUUUUAAUUUGUUUAUUUUUGGGGUUCCAUAUGUAUUAGCUUAAGUCAGCUGCAUACAUAUUGAAUUUUUCUUUUAACGUUGGACUGGAGUUCCAUAAAGGAGGUUGCUUGUGGCAGGAGAACCGUGAGAGAAUUUUUCCUGUCCAAAUUGUUUGAUGGAAAUUUCAGGAAAGUUGGCUGCCUGACAGGUUUUUUCUCUCUCACACUCCAGACAAUGUCCAGUUGUUAAGCAAAUGUAAUGUGUUAUAUGUGUAGUCGCACUCAUGUUCAUCUUUUGUUUUUUGAGGCCCUGUAUAGCCACGAAGGGGGGAAUAUGAGGUGUAUAGACGAUCAACUACGAACAAAGACCGUUGUAUUAGUAGAUAUGGGGGAAUACAAUUAGACUAGACCCUAGGCAGCUCCACAGCAUGGAUAUUUGAUUUGUCAUUAACUGCGCAGGUCAGAACUCAACAUAUAGAGGUUACGAUGCUAUGUCUGAAUGUUGACCUUUCGGGUGAAAGGUCAAAAGGGGGAAUUGUGGAAUUAUUAGCCUUAGUAUUGUUCAUAUUACUUUUUAAGAUGUAUUA